GUAGAUAGUUCAGUAGCAAGCAAAAGCCAUGCCUGCGUCGAAUGCCAGCGAUGAGUUUGAUGAUGAUGUCUUCAUCGUCGAUAUCGACGGUAUCCAAGCUCAUGGGGUGGGAGCUGCAGAUAUUACGAAACUGAAAGCAAAUGGAUUUUAUACUGUUGCUUCUGUUCAUGGAGCCACGAGAAAGACGUUGUUGAAAAUCAGGGGCUUCAGUGAAGUCAAGGUAGAGAAAAUUAAAGAGGCUAUUCAGAAAUGCAAGCCCUCAGCUUCUGGUUUCAUAACUGCAAUGGAACUAGGCCACC
RNAcentral lists this small RNA (299 nucleotides) under Histoplasma capsulatum var. duboisii H88. Its description in RNAcentral is "Histoplasma capsulatum H88 hypothetical RNA". Lineage: Eukaryota; Fungi; Ascomycota; Eurotiomycetes; Onygenales; Ajellomycetaceae. The record is from RNAcentral.